UGAACCCAUGUACAGGUUCAUAGGGA
RNAcentral lists this non-coding RNA (26 nucleotides) under Mus musculus (house mouse). Lineage: Eukaryota; Metazoa; Chordata; Mammalia; Rodentia; Muridae. The record is from RNAcentral.